GCGUAAAGCGCGUGUAGGCGGCCGGGUAAGUUGGACGUGAAAGCUCCUGGCUCAACUAGGAGAGGUCGUUCAAAACUGCCUGGCUAGAGGGCGACAGAGGGAGGUGGAAUUCCCGGUGUAGUGGUGAAAUGCGUAGAUACCGGGAGGAACACCAGUGGCGAAGGCGGCCUCCUGGGUCGCUCCUGACGCUCAGACGCGAAAGCUAGGGGAGCAAACGGGAUUAGAUACCCCGGUAGUCCUAGCUGUAAACGAUGUGGACUUGGCGUUGGUGGGGUCAAAUCCAUCAGUGCCGUAGCUAACGCGAUAAGUCCACCGCCUGGGGACUACGACCGCAAGGUUAAAACUCAAAGGAAUUGGCGGGGGCCCGCACAAGCAGCGGAGCGUGUGGUUUAAUUCGAUGCUACACGAAGAACCUUACCCGGGUUUGACAUCCAGGUGGUAGGGAACCGAAAGGCGACCGACCCUUCGGGGAGCCUGGACAGGUGCUGCAUGGCUGUCGUCAGCUCGUGUCGUGAGAUGUCCGGUUAAGUCCGGUAACGAGCGCAGCCCUUGCUGUAUGUUACAUGUGUCAUACAGGACUGCCGGUUUAGUGCCGGAGGAAGGCGGGGAUGACGUCAAGUCAGCAUGGCCUUUAUAUCCGGGGCUACACACACGCUACAAUGGCCAGUACAACAGGUUGCAAAACCGCGAGGUGGAGCCAAUCCCCAAAACUGGCCUCAGUUCAGAUUGCACGCUGCAACUCGCCUGCAUGAAGUCGGAGUUGCUAGUAA
RNAcentral lists this ribosomal RNA (770 nucleotides) under uncultured Thermomicrobia bacterium. Its description in RNAcentral is "bacterial SSU rRNA". It matches the Rfam family "Bacterial small subunit ribosomal RNA", at positions 558 to 1341 of the family's 1533-position model. The record is from RNAcentral. Lineage: Bacteria; Pseudomonadati; Thermomicrobiota; Thermomicrobia.